CCCGCUGAACUUAAGCAUAUCAAUAAGCGGAGGAAAAGAAACUAACAAGGAUUCCCCUAGUAACGGCGAGUGAAGCGGGAUGAGCUCAAAUUUGAAAUUUGGCUGGUUUACUAGUCCGAGUUGUAAUUUAAAGAAGCGUUUUCGGUGGCAGCCUGGGUAUAAAUCCUUCGGAAUAGGGUAUCAUAGAGGGUGAGAAUCCCGUCUUUGACCUAGUGCAUGCUACUAUGUGAUACGUUUUCAAAGAGUCGAGUUGUUUGGGAAUGCAGCUCAAAAUGGGUGGUAAAUUUCAUCUAAAGCUAAAUAUUGGCGAGAGACCGAUAGCGAACAAGUACCGUGAGGGAAAGAUGAAAAGAACUUUGAAAAGAGAGUUAAACAGUGCGUGAAAUUGUUGAAAGGGAAACGCUUGAAGUCAGUCGCGUCCGCCGAGACUCAGCCUCGCUCCGGCUUGGUGUAUUUCUCGGUCGACGGGUCAGCAUCAAUUUUGCCCCUCGGAUAAUGGCAAGGGAAAGGUGGCACCUUUGCGGGUGUGUUAUAGUCUUUUGUCGCAUGCGAGGGGCGAGAUUGAGGAUCUCAGCACGCGCACCUUUGGGUGUGUCGGGGCCUCGGCCCACGCCACGUGCUUAGGAUGCUGGCAUAAUGGCUUUAAACGACCCGUCUUGAAACACGG
Molecule: ribosomal RNA, 667 nt
Filed under: uncultured fungus
Lineage: Eukaryota; Fungi
Description: eukaryotic LSU rRNA
Rfam family: Eukaryotic large subunit ribosomal RNA
Source: RNAcentral